This 206-nucleotide long non-coding RNA is filed under the name Panax ginseng (ginseng). RNAcentral's name for it is "long non-coding RNA (PGIN_LNC012550)". The record is from RNAcentral. Lineage: Eukaryota; Viridiplantae; Streptophyta; Magnoliopsida; Apiales; Araliaceae.
AGUAAUCAAACACCGACAGGAUAGCCUCCUGGUGGAGGGACCACACAACAUACAUUCACAUACAACGUGUCUCACCGUUUAUGCAAAAUGAUGACAUAUGUGAAGCACUAAUAUCACAGAUAGAUAUUUAGCAGUGCAGUAAUUAAGAUGCAUUCGUACACAUUCAUCAUAAAUGUAAAUGCAACAUUCACACACAAGCAUAUAAC